Leptidea sinapis is the source of this 423-nucleotide long non-coding RNA. RefSeq lists it as uncharacterized. NCBI's taxonomy places the organism in Eukaryota, Metazoa, Arthropoda, Insecta, Lepidoptera, Pieridae. The record is from RefSeq and is a predicted model, not a curated record. The transcript has 3 exons.
CAGCAACCACAGCGAAGCCCACGAAGCAGGUGAUAUUGAUUGUGGAGGCUGUAACAAAUGAAGCAAAUGGCGCUGUUUUUUAAAACAUAAACUUACCUAUCCAUGAUACAAAUUCAUCAGAUAUUGGUAUGGAGCUAUGGUUAGAGUGCAGUUUGUCGAUCAUACCAGACAUCUGCCCAAAUAUGAACCCAUCUGAGAUACUGCCUAUUGCGAUUCCAACGGUGACCAGGAACUGGAAGAUAUAAAAUAUAACAUUCUUAAGGAUGAAGUUAAUAAGUUACCAAAGCUCGUGGAGAGGAGCGUGUUUGUGAUAGAAAGUGGAACGUCAAAAAAAAAUAAUCGGCAUUAACUGGAGCGUUAAAUUGAACAAUUUUCAUUUAACCCCAAUCCGUGAUUUUAUAGAAGAUAAAAGUUUAAUAAAUU